This 1885-nucleotide ribosomal RNA is filed under the name Listeria monocytogenes. RNAcentral's name for it is "partial 23S ribosomal RNA". It matches the Rfam family "Bacterial large subunit ribosomal RNA", at positions 1045 to 2925 of the family's 2925-position model. Lineage: Bacteria; Bacillati; Bacillota; Bacilli; Caryophanales; Listeriaceae. The record is from RNAcentral.
UCCCCAAAUAUAUGUUAAGUGGAAAAGGAUGUGGGGUUGCUUAGACAACCAGGAUGUUGGCUUAGAAGCAGCCACCAUUGAAAGAGUGCGUAAUAGCUCACUGGUCGAGUGACCCCGCGCCGAAAAUGUACCGGGGCUAAACAUAUUACCGAAACUGUGGAUGAACCUCUUUAGAGGUUCGUGGUAGGAGAGCGUUCUAAGGGCGGUGAAGUCAGACCGGAAGGACUGGUGGAGCGCUUAGAAGUGAGAAUGCCGGUAUGAGUAGCGAAAGAAGGGUGAGAAUCCCUUCCACCGAAUAUCUAAGGUUUCCUGAGGAAGGCUCGUCCGCUCAGGGUUAGUCGGGACCUAAGCCGAGGCCGAUAGGCGUAGGCGAUGGACAACAGGUAGAGAUUCCUGUACCAGUGCUAAUUGUUUAACCGAUGGGGUGACACAGAAGGAUAGGGAAUCGCACGAAUGGAAAUGUGCGUCCAAGCAGUGAGUGUGAGAAGUAGGCAAAUCCGCUUCUCGCGAAGCAUGAGCUGUGAUGGGGAAGGAAAUUAAGUACGGAAGUUCCUGAUUUCACGCUGUCAAGAAAAGCCUCUAGGAAGAGUAGUACUGCCCGUACCGCAAACCGACACAGGUAGAUGAGGAGAGAAUCCUAAGGUGAGCGAGAGAACUCUCGUUAAGGAACUCGGCAAAAUGACCCCGUAACUUCGGGAGAAGGGGUGCUCUAUUAGGGUGCAAGCCCGAGAGAGCCGCAGUGAAUAGGCCCAGGCGACUGUUUAGCAAAAACACAGGUCUCUGCAAAACCGUAAGGUGACGUAUAGGGGCUGACGCCUGCCCGGUGCUGGAAGGUUAAGAGGAGUGCUUAGCUUCGGCGAAGGUACGAAUUGAAGCCCCAGUAAACGGCGGCCGUAACUAUAACGGUCCUAAGGUAGCGAAAUUCCUUGUCGGGUAAGUUCCGACCCGCACGAAAGGCGCAACGAUCUGGGCACUGUCUCAACGAGAGACUCGGUGAAAUUAUAGUACCUGUGAAGAUGCAGGUUACCCGCGACAGGACGGAAAGACCCCGUGGAGCUUUACUGCAACCUGAUAUGGAAUGUUUGUACCGCUUGUACAGGAUAGGUAGGAGCCGAAGAGACGUGUGCGCUAGCAUACGAGGAGGCAAUGGUGGGAUACUACCCUGGCUGUAUGACCAUUCUAACCCGCCACGCUUAGCGCGUGGGGAGACAGUGUCAGGUGGGCAGUUUGACUGGGGCGGUCGCCUCCUAAAGAGUAACGGAGGCGCCCAAAGGUUCCCUCAGAAUGGAUGGAAAUCAUUCGCAGAGUGUAAAGGCACAAGGGAGCUUGACUGCGAGACUGACAAGUCGAGCAGGGACGAAAGUCGGGCUUAGUGAUCCGGUGGUUCCGCAUGGAAGGGCCAUCGCUCAACGGAUAAAAGCUACCCCGGGGAUAACAGGCUUAUCUCCCCCAAGAGUCCACAUCGACGGGGAGGUUUGGCACCUCGAUGUCGGCUCGUCGCAUCCUGGGGCUGUAGUCGGUCCCAAGGGUUGGGCUGUUCGCCCAUUAAAGCGGCACGCGAGCUGGGUUCAGAACGUCGUGAGACAGUUCGGUCCCUAUCCGUCGCGGGCGCAGGAAAUUUGAGAGGAGCUGUCCUUAGUACGAGAGGACCGGGAUGGACACACCGCUGGUGUACCAGUUGUUCCGCCAGGAGCAUCGCUGGGUAGCUAUGUGUGGCAGGGAUAAACGCUGAAAGCAUCUAAGCGUGAAGCCCCCCUCAAGAUGAGAUUUCCCAUUUCUUCGGAAAGUAAGAUCCCUGAAAGAUGAUCAGGUAGAUAGGUUUGGAGUGGAAGUGUAGCGAUACAUGGAGCGGACAAAUACUAAUCGAUCGAGGACUUAACCAAAA